RNAcentral lists this ribosomal RNA (1372 nucleotides) under uncultured bacterium. RNAcentral's name for it is "bacterial SSU rRNA". It matches the Rfam family "Bacterial small subunit ribosomal RNA", at positions 28 to 1381 of the family's 1533-position model. The record is from RNAcentral.
GACGAACGCUGGCGGCGUGCCUAAUACAUGCAAGUCGAGCGAACGGACGAGAAGCUUGCUUCUCUGAUGUUAGCGGCGGACGGGUGAGUAACACGUGGAUAACCUACCUAUAAGACUGGGAUAACUUCGGGAAACCGGAGCUAAUACCGGAUAAUAUUUUGAACCGCAUGGUUCAAAAGUGAAAGACGGUCUUGCUGUCACUUAUAGAUGGAUCCGCGCUGCAUUAGCUAGUUGGUAAGGUAACGGCUUACCAAGGCAACGAUGCAUAGCCGACCUGAGAGGGUGAUCGGCCACACUGGAACUGAGACACGGUCCAGACUCCUACAGGGGGCAGCAGUAGGGAAUCUUCCGCAAUGGGCGAAAGCCUGACGGAGCAACGCCGCGUGAGUGAUGAAGGUCUUCGGAUCGUAAAACUCUGUUAUUAGGGAAGAACAUAUGUGUAAGUAACUGUGCACAUCUUGACGGUACCUAAUCAGAAAGCCACGGCUAACUACGUGCCAGCAGCCGCGGUAAUACGUAGGUGGCAAGCGUUAUCCGGAAUUAUUGGGCGUAAAGCGCGCGUAGGCGGUUUUUUAAGUCUGAUGUGAAAGCCCACGGCUCAACCGUGGAGGGUCAUUGGAAACUGGAAAACUUGAGUGCAGAAGAGGAAAGUGGAAUUCCAUGUGUAGCGGUGAAAUGCGCAGAGAUAUGGAGGAACACCAGUGGCGAAGGCGACUUUCUGGUCUGUAACUGACGCUGAUGUGCGAAAGCGUGGGGAUCAAACAGGAUUAGAUACCCUGGUAGUCCACGCCGUAAACGAUGAGUGCUAAGUGUUAGGGGGUUUCCGCCCCUUAGUGCUGCAGCUAACGCAUUAAGCACUCCGCCUGGGGAGUACGACCGCAAGGUUGAAACUCAAAGGAAUUGACGGGGACCCGCACAAGCGGUGGAGCAUGUGGUUUAAUUCGAAGCAACGCGAAGAACCUUACCAAAUCUUGACAUCCUUUGACAACUCUAGAGAUAGAGCCUUCCCCUUCGGGGGACAAAGUGACAGGUGGUGCAUGGUUGUCGUCGGCUCGUGUCGUGAGAUGUUGGGUUAAGUCCCGCAACGAGCGCAACCCUUAAGCUUAGUUGCCAUCAUUAAGUUGGGCACUCUAAGUUGACUGCCGGUGACAAACCGGAGGAAGGUGGGGAUGACGUCAAAUCAUCAUGCCCCUUAUGAUUUGGGCUACACACGUGCUACAAUGGACAAUACAAGGGGCAGCGAAACCGCGAGGUCAAGCAAAUCCCAUAAAGUUGUUCUCAGUUCGGAUUGUAGUCUGCAACUCGACUACAUGAAGCUGGAAUCGCUAGUAAUCGUAGAUCAGCAUGCUACGGUGAAUACGUUCCCGGGUCU